This 521-nucleotide ribosomal RNA is filed under the name uncultured bacterium. Its description in RNAcentral is "bacterial SSU rRNA". It matches the Rfam family "Archaeal small subunit ribosomal RNA", at positions 345 to 866 of the family's 1478-position model. The record is from RNAcentral.
AACCUCCGCAAUGUGAGAAAUCGCGACGGGGGGAUCCCAAGUGCCAUUCUUAACGGGAUGGCUUUUCAUUAGUGUAAAGAGCUUUUGGAAUAAGAGCUGGGCAAGACCGGUGCCAGCCGCCGCGGUAACACCGGCAGCUCUAGUGGUAACAAUUUUUAUUGGGCCUAAAGCGUCCGUAGCCGGUUUAAUAAGUCUCUGGUGAAAUCCUGUAGCUUAACUGUGGGAAUUGCUGGAGAUACUAUUAGACUUGAGACCGGGAGAGGUUAGAGGUACUCCCAGGGUAGAGGUGAAAUUCUGUAAUCCUGGGAGGACCGCCUGUUGCGAAGGCGUCUAACUGGAACGGUCCUGACGGUGAGGGACGAAAGUUAGGGGCGCGAACCGGAUUAGAUACCCGGGUAGUCCUAACUGUAAACGAUGCGGACUUGGUGUUGGGGUGGCUUUGAGCUGCUCCAGUGCCGAAGGGAAGCUGUUAAGUCCGCCGCCUGGGAAGUACGGUCGCAAGACUGAAACUUAAAGGAAUU